CCGUAGCUCAGAGGAUAAAGCGUCUGCCUCCGGAGCAGAAGAUCGUUGGUUCGAAUCCAAUCGG
This 64-nucleotide transfer RNA is filed under the name uncultured Phascolarctobacterium sp. It matches the Rfam family "tRNA", at positions 5 to 66 of the family's 71-position model. Rfam says of the family: Transfer RNA (tRNA) molecules are approximately 80 nucleotides in length. Their secondary structure includes four short double-helical elements and three loops (D, anti-codon, and T loops). Further hydrogen bonds mediate the characteristic L-shaped molecular structure. tRNAs have two regions of fundamental functional importance: the anti-codon, which is responsible for specific mRNA codon recognition, and the 3' end, to which the tRNAs corresponding amino acid is attached (by aminoacyl-tRNA synthetases). tRNAs cope with the degeneracy of the genetic code in two manners: having more than one tRNA (with a specific anti-codon) for a particular amino acid; and 'wobble' base-pairing, i.e. permitting non-standard base-pairing at the 3rd anti-codon position. The record is from RNAcentral. Lineage: Bacteria; Bacillati; Bacillota; Negativicutes; Acidaminococcales; Acidaminococcaceae.